CUCUGACCUCUGAAACAUCUCGCUUUGAGCUUUCCACAGGCAUACUUACUAGGAAAAGUUGUGGAAAAUUCGAUGCUCAGCUUACAGUCCCAAGAACAUGAAUAAGCUCCUCUGCCAGUUUAAAAAAAAGAUGGAUGUUGUUUCUGGGAGAAGGAUGGCGUACAGUGGCUCAGACGGGAGACGGAUAGUGGAGACAGCAGAGAACUGA
This is a long non-coding RNA of Talpa occidentalis (Iberian mole), 208 nucleotides long. RefSeq lists it as uncharacterized. The record is from RefSeq and is a predicted model, not a curated record. The transcript has 3 exons. Lineage: Eukaryota; Metazoa; Chordata; Mammalia; Eulipotyphla; Talpidae.